AUUUUCGACUUUGAUCGUAGCCAUGGUUUUCGCUGGAGGAUGUAUAUCGAAAGAGAUGUGUAUCCCACAUAGAGGAGAGUUGUUUGGCAGGAGCUCGAGCGCUGUUCAGACACAAUGUUGUGAUACAGACAGGUGUAAUGGGCCAUCUACAACAACAACAACCCACCACCACCACCACACGUAUU
Long non-coding RNA from Ruditapes philippinarum (Manila clam), 185 nucleotides. RefSeq lists it as uncharacterized. Lineage: Eukaryota; Metazoa; Mollusca; Bivalvia; Venerida; Veneridae. The record is from RefSeq and is a predicted model, not a curated record. The transcript is spliced from 3 exons.